GGAACUGCAGACCAGAAUGGAUGGGGAAAGUACAUCUUGUAACUAGCUGUAACUGCAGACCAGACAUGGAUGAGAAAAAUACAGUCUGUAGCUAACAACUGUAACUGCAGACCAGACAUGGAUGAGAAAAAUACAGUCUGUAGCUAACAACUAUAUGCAAACCAGAAAUGGAAUCCUCUACACCAGAACAUGGCUUCCUGUAACGCCUGUAACUGCAGACCAGACAUGGAUGAGAAAAAUACAGUCUGUAGCUAACAACUAUAUGCAGACCAGAAAUGGAAUCCUCUACACCAGAACAUGGCUUCCUGUAACGCCUGUAA
Molecule: long non-coding RNA, 320 nt
Organism: Oncorhynchus masou masou (cherry salmon)
Lineage: Eukaryota; Metazoa; Chordata; Actinopteri; Salmoniformes; Salmonidae
Exons: 6
Source: RefSeq, a predicted model, not a curated record